AUUGAACGCUGGCGGCAGGCCUAACACAUGCAAGUCGAACGAGUGGCGGACGGGUGAGUAAUGUCUGGGAAACUGCCCGAUGGAGGGGGAUAACUACUGGAAACGGUAGCUAAUACCGCAUACCAUCGGAUGUGCCCAGAUGGGAUUAGCUAGUAGGUGGGGUAACGGCUCACCUGGGCGACGAUCCCUAGCUGGUCUGAGAGGAUUACCAGCCACACUGGAACUGAGACACGGUCCAGACUCCUACGGGAGGCAGCAGUGGGGAAUAUUGCACAAUGGGAGCAAGCCUGAUGCAGCCAUGCCGCAUGUAUGAAGAAGGCCGUCGGGUUGUAAAGUACUUUCAGCGAGGAGGCGUUACUCGCAGAAGAAGCAUCGGCUAACUCCGUGCCAGCAGCCGCGGUAAUUC
This 406-nucleotide ribosomal RNA is filed under the name uncultured bacterium. RNAcentral's name for it is "partial 16S ribosomal RNA". It matches the Rfam family "Bacterial small subunit ribosomal RNA", at positions 30 to 526 of the family's 1533-position model. The record is from RNAcentral.